Molecule: long non-coding RNA, 533 nt
Filed under: Gallus gallus (chicken)
Lineage: Eukaryota; Metazoa; Chordata; Aves; Galliformes; Phasianidae
Description: long non-coding RNA NONGGAT004448
Source: RNAcentral
UUUUGUUCCUUUAGAGGAGCAGAGGAACUGCCUUCGUUUCAUUGAGAUUUGGCAUUUAUCUGUUGCUGUGACCUGGGCACUUGGAGCAAUGUACUGAGCACAGUGGCUUUGCAGCCACAAACCAGACACCUACCUACUGACCUACCUACCUACCAAUGAACUGAUCGAUCUACCAACCUACCUACCGACCUACCUACCGACCUAUGUACCUACCUACCAACUGAUCAAACAACAGACCAACCAACGGACCAACCAACUGACCUACUUAUACCAAGCUGGUGGGCAAUAUGCAUCUUGGAUGAGCUUCACCAACAGUCUAAGAUCUCCACAAAUGUACAUUUUUGGUUAGAAAAGUAGUAUUGUGAAAGCGAAGCUGCAAAGAUAAUCCUGCAGCACUUUACACUUUCUGCAUUAAUUGUUUUCUAUACCCUGUUUUAAGUAGUUUGGGGGUGAGCUUUUGAGAAGCAGAUUUGUGUCAGAUGCUUACAAACAGCAGAAAGAAGUCUUCCUAGUGGCAAGGUGGUUGCUCCCUG